RNAcentral lists this ribosomal RNA (489 nucleotides) under uncultured bacterium. RNAcentral describes it as "partial 16S ribosomal RNA". It matches the Rfam family "Bacterial small subunit ribosomal RNA", at positions 28 to 507 of the family's 1533-position model. The record is from RNAcentral.
GACGAACGCUGGCGGCGUGCUUAACACAUGCAAGUCGAACGGUGAAGGGAUCAGCUUGCUGGUUCUGGAUGAGUGGCGAACGGGUGAGUAACACGUGAGUAACCUGCCCCCUUCUUCUGGAUAACCGCAUGAAAGUGUGGCUAAUACGGGAUAUUCUGCGCCUGCUGCAUGGUGGGUGUGGGAAAGAUAUUGUUUCGGUGGGGGAUGGGCUCGCGGCCUAUCAGCUUGUUGGUGGGGUGAUGGCCUACCAAGGCGGUGACGGGUAGCCGGCCUGAGAGGGGCGACGGUCACACUGGGACUGAGACACGGCCCAGACUCCUACGGGAGGCAGCAGUGGGGAAUAUUGCACAAUGGGCUCAAGCCUGAUGCAGCGACGCCGCGUGAGGGAUGGAGGCCUUCGGGUUGUGAACCUCUUUCGCCAGUGAAGCAGGCCUGUCCCGUGUGGGUGGGUUGACGGUAGCUGGAUAAGAAGCGCCGGCUAACUACGUG